UUUUUUUUUUUUUUUCUAGAUUGUUUAUGUAUCCACAAGGACCACAAGACAAAUAGCUUAAUUUAAUCUGACGCAUAAUAUGGGUGCGAUUGGCAAAACAUUUCAUUUAAGUUUUUUUCAUAUAAAUAUAAAUAAAGCAUUUCUUAAUUAAGAUGACAGCAUUUAGAACAUGUUUGUGAGUGUGUCCAUUAUAUUUAGUCUCCAUAUUAUAUAAUUAUUAAGUAACUACAAAAACGCCAUCAGAAAUUAUUAUUUUUAAUUAAGACACGAGUAGAAUUAAAUUUUUAAUUAAUUUAUAAAAAUUCCUAAAAUACUUUUUGUUCCACAAAGUUUUAUUUGAAAAAAUUGUAAGUUUUAGUAAUAUUGGUUUUGAGUUUAUGUGACUGCAUGCGCUACCAUUUUAUAUAAUUUUUUUAACAUUUUUUUUUCUUUUUAUACAUGCGGAUUUGAACUCGUAUCGAUAAAACUGAUUGUAUACACUAUUUUGUCACAUGUUCCGAUGAUACAAUUGUUUAAACUUUAAACAACAGAAUAAUUUAUUGAAACUGUAUUAUUAUUCUACUUUACCAAAAGAAAACAAUACUAUUUAAAUUAUAUUAAGCACAAAACCCCUAGCUAGCAAGUAGCAACCACACCG
Molecule: long non-coding RNA, 637 nt
Filed under: Capsella rubella
Lineage: Eukaryota; Viridiplantae; Streptophyta; Magnoliopsida; Brassicales; Brassicaceae
Description: long non-coding RNA (CRUB_LNC001881)
Source: RNAcentral